GGGCGAUUAGCUCAGUUGGUUAGAGCGCACGCUUCACACGCGUGAGGUCCGCGGUUCGAGUCCGCGAUCGCCCACCA
RNAcentral lists this transfer RNA (77 nucleotides) under Microthrixaceae bacterium. RNAcentral's name for it is "tRNA-Val". It matches the Rfam family "tRNA". From Rfam's summary of the family: Transfer RNA (tRNA) molecules are approximately 80 nucleotides in length. Their secondary structure includes four short double-helical elements and three loops (D, anti-codon, and T loops). RNAcentral also lists the same sequence under 1 other name. The record is from RNAcentral. Lineage: Bacteria; Bacillati; Actinomycetota; Acidimicrobiia; Acidimicrobiales; Microthrixaceae.